Molecule: ribosomal RNA, 253 nt
Filed under: uncultured bacterium
Lineage: Bacteria
Description: partial 16S ribosomal RNA
Rfam family: Bacterial small subunit ribosomal RNA
Source: RNAcentral
UACGAGUGCCCUAAGCGUUAUCCGGAAUCAUUGGGCGUAAAGGGUGUGUAGGUGGUCGGGUUAGUCUUCUGUUAAAUUCUUCGGCUCAACCGGGGGCUUGCAGGGGAAACGGCACGACUAGAGGAUGCGAGAGGCAUGUGGAACUCAUGGAGUAGGGGUGAAAUCCGUUGAUAUCAUGGGGAACACCGAAAGCGAAGGCAACAUGCUGGCGCACUCCUGACACUGAAACACGAAAGCGUAGGUAGCGAAUGGG